GACGAACGCUGGCGGCGCGCCUAACACAUGCAAGUCGAACGGAGCUUUGAGAGCUUGCUUUUAAAGCUUAGUGGCGAACGGGUGAGUAACGCGUGAGUAACCUGCCCUGGAGUGGGGGAGUAACAGUUAGAAAUAGACUGCUAAUACCGCAUAAGCACACAGUACCGCAUGGUACAGAGUGAAAACUACCGGUGGUAUGAGAUGGACCCGCGUCUGAUUAGCUGGUUGGCGGGGUAACGGCCCACCAAGGCGACGAUCAGUAGCCGACCUGAGAGGGUGACCGGCCACAUUGGGACUGAGACACGGCCCAA
This 311-nucleotide ribosomal RNA is filed under the name uncultured bacterium. RNAcentral's name for it is "bacterial SSU rRNA". It matches the Rfam family "Bacterial small subunit ribosomal RNA", at positions 28 to 334 of the family's 1533-position model. The record is from RNAcentral.